GCUUGUGAGGAUCUUUGCAGUCCUCCACACCGCCGACACGUCUGUCGGGAUUCUCUGCCUGGAAACACCGCAAACUAAUCGGAACCUGCGACCGACAGAGACAGACGAGAGGUCGAUUAGGUGUGAAUUGCUGUUCUAAAAUGGGAGGAGACCAGAGUCAUGAGAAGGAGGCUGAGGAGCGAGGAGAAGAAACAGAGAAACAGCAGGAGUUGGACAAAACCGACAACUCAGCCUCUGAAGACACACUAGGAGAGUUGCCACAGUGCAGGAUGGGAAACAGGAAGGUGGACAACAUGUGUUUCAUGAUCUCAUGCACCAACUGGUACUAAACUGGUCCUGGUGAACUUAAAGGGAGUGAAAACAGUGUGAGCUGCUGGGUCGGAUGCUGCAUGCAUGGAAAUCUCGAUGUCCCUAAGCCCUGCUGCAUCCUUUAAUCACUGCAUUUUGGACGACUUCUCUGAGAAAUCUUGUGAUUAAUCCAUCAUUAAACUAGCAGUCAGGACUUUAGGUUGUUUCCAGUGAGAUUUAGUGGCCUGUAAAUGUCAGGCAUAUCAGUCAAUAUUUCAUGAUGUGACAGCUUUUUUUUCCUCUUCUUUUAUGCAUAAUCAUACAAAAUGAUAACUUUAUACCAGGAAAAGUCCAGAAACAUUAGCAAUAGUGCUUGUAAAGCUGAAUGUUGAUUGAUUGAGGCACAGACUGCAAAUAAAGGACAACUGUGAAGUAAAACUCAGAAAAGCGCUACUGUGUUGAGGUGGUGAGUCUGCAGACGUGAUCAGGUGGGAGGGUGUGGCAUGGAUGCGUCUUCUAGUGCAAGGCCACAGCAAUAAAUUAUAGCAAAAACCAGCCUGAGUGGGGAAAAGUAGAUGACUAGCUUCUGAGUUUAUGGAGGUGGAUUUCAAAACCACAUCUUUGUCCUCGGAUCACUGCUGCACAUGAUGUUUACAAGGAGAUAAAUACAUCCACCUGUUAAAGGAAAGAAGUUUCUUCAGGCUUUUCAUAAAUCUGACUUAUAAAAGACUGUUUAAGAUGUUGGCUGAUUGUUGGAAGCUAAAUAAAACAUCUGGUGGACAUCUGGCUGGUGUUCUGUUUGUAUAGCUUUUGAAACAAAGGAGGCAAUGUGAAUGUCAGAUUAUUUAAAGCCUCUUUACAGGAAA
Melanotaenia boesemani (Boeseman's rainbowfish) is the source of this 1154-nucleotide long non-coding RNA. RefSeq lists it as uncharacterized. The transcript is spliced from 3 exons. Lineage: Eukaryota; Metazoa; Chordata; Actinopteri; Atheriniformes; Melanotaeniidae. The record is from RefSeq and is a predicted model, not a curated record.